Molecule: ribosomal RNA, 301 nt
Filed under: uncultured bacterium
Lineage: Bacteria
Description: partial 16S ribosomal RNA
Rfam family: Bacterial small subunit ribosomal RNA
Source: RNAcentral
CAGCAGCCGCGGGAAUACGAAGGGGGCUAGCGUUGUUCGGAUUUACUGGGCGUAAAGCGCACGUAGGCGGACUUUUAAGUCAGGGGUGAAAUCCCGGGGCUCAACCCCGGAACUGCCUUUGAUACUGGAGAUCUUGAGUCCGGGAGAGGUGAGUGGAAUUGCGAGUGUAGCGGUGAAAUGCGUAGAUAUCGGAAGGAACACCUGUGGCGAAAGCGGCUCACUGGACCAUAACUGACGCUGAGGCGCGAAAGCUAGGGGAGCAAGCAGGAUUAGAGACCCCAGUAGUCCCUGUCUCUUAUAC